Molecule: non-coding RNA, 1317 nt
Organism: Microcebus murinus (gray mouse lemur)
Lineage: Eukaryota; Metazoa; Chordata; Mammalia; Primates; Cheirogaleidae
Source: RefSeq, a predicted model, not a curated record
CUGCUAGUAUACUAGCAGGCAGCCAUAGUGAAGGACUGUUGCAGAUAGCAUCAGGGCCUCAGCCAGGACAGCAGCAGAAUGGAUUUACUGGUCAGCCAGCUACUUACCAUCAUAACAGCACUACCACCUGGACUGGAAGUAGGACUGCACCAUACACACCUAAUUUGCCUCACCACCAAAACGGCCAUCUUCAGCACCACCCGCCUAUGCUGCCCCAUCCCGGACAUUACUGGCCAGUUCACAAUGAACUUGCAUUCCAGCCUCCCAUUUCCAAUCAUCCUGCUCCUGAGUAUUGGUGUUCCAUUGCUUACUUUGAAAUGGAUGUUCAGGUAGGAGAGACAUUUAAGGUUUCUUCAAGCUGCCCUAUCGUUACUGUUGAUGGGUAUGUGGACCCUUCAGGAGGAGAUCGCUUUUGCUUGGGUCAACUCUCCAAUGUCCACAGGACAGAAGCCAUUGAGAGAGCAAGGUUGCACAUAGGCAAAGGUGUGCAGUUGGAAUGUAAAGGUGAAGGUGACGUUUGGGUCAGGUGCCUCAGUGACCACAUGGUCUUUGUACAGAGUUACUACUUAGACAGAGAAGCUGGGCGUGCACCUGGAGAUGCUGUUCAUAAGAUCUACCCCAGUGCAUAUAUAAAGGUCUUGAUUUGCGUCAGUGUCAUCGACAGAUGCAGCAGCAGGCGGCCACUGCACAAGCUGCAGCCGCCGCCCAGGCAGCAGCCGUGGCAGGAAACAUCCCUGGUCCAGGAUCAGUAGGUAGAAUAGCUCCAGCUAUCAGUCUAUCAGCUGCUGCGGGAAUUGGUGUUGAUGACCUUCGUCGCUUAUGCAUACUCAGGAUGAGUUUUGUGAAAGGCUAGGGACCGGAUUACUCAAGACAGAGCAUCAAGGAGACCCCUUGCUGGAUUGAAAUUCACUUACACCGGGCCCUCCAGCUCCUAGAUGAAGUACUUCACACCAUGCCAAUUGCAGACCCACAGCCUCUAGACUGAGGAAUUUCUUUUUACUGCUGGGGCCCUUAACAUUAGCAGGAUGGUGGACUAUAAAAUACAAUCCUGUUUAUAAUCUGAAGAUACAUUUCACUUUUGUUCUGCUUUAUCUUUUCAUAAAGGGUUGGAAUAUGUGUUUGCUGCCUUGCUCCUAGCAGACAGAAACUGGAUUAAAACAAUUUUUUCCCCUUAUUUAGAACUUUUCAGGCAUGGCUCAGAGCUUGAAGAUUAGGAAAAACACAUUCUUAUUAAAUCUUCACCAGUUAUGUAUGAAGGAAUCAUUCCUGUGCUGGAAAGUUUAGCCCUUUAAACUGUCUUAGAGCCUUUUAUAUGCA